This 681-nucleotide long non-coding RNA is filed under the name Capra hircus (goat). RNAcentral's name for it is "lncRNA (ENSCHIG00010016572.1)". The record is from RNAcentral. Lineage: Eukaryota; Metazoa; Chordata; Mammalia; Artiodactyla; Bovidae.
AGUAAUACAGGCAAAGAGUAAUACAGACAGGGAAGAGUAAUACAGACAGGGAAUAGUAAUACAGGCGAAGAGUAAUACAGACGGGGAAGAGUAAUACAGACGGGGAAGAGUAAUACAGACAGGCGAAGAGUAAUACAGACAGGCGAAGUGUAAUACAGACAGGCAAAGAGUAGUACAGACAGGGAAGAGUAAUACAGAGAGGCGAAGAGUAAUACAGACAGGGAAGAGUAAUACAGACAGGCGAGUAAUACAGACAGGGAAGAGUAAUACAGACAGGCGAAGAGUAAUACGGGGAAGACUAAUACAGACAGGGAAGAGUGAUACAGACAGGGAAGACUAAUACUGACAGGGGAAGAGUAAUACAGACAGGGGAAGAGUAAUACUGACGGGGAAGAGUAAUACAAGCGAAGAGUAAUACUGACGGGAAGAGUAAUACUGACAGGGGAAGAGUAAUACAGGAAAGAGUAAUACAGACAGGCGAAGAGUAAUACAGACAGGCGAAGAGUAAUANNNNNNNNNNNNNNNNNNNNNNNNNNNNNGAAGAGUAAUACAGACAGGGGAAGAGUAAUACUGAUAGGGGAAGAGUAAUACUGACAGGGAAGAGUAAUACAGACAGGCGAAGAGUAAUACAGACAGCUUUGUGGAUAUAAAUUCAACAACUUGGAUGAAAUAGACCAGUUC